UACGUAGGGUGCAAGCGUUGUCCGGAUUUAUUGGGCGUAAAGAGCUCGUAGGCGGUUUGUCGCGUCGGAUGUGAAAACCCAGGGCUCAACCCUGGGCCUGCAUUCGAUACGGGCAAACUAGAGUAUGGCAGGGGAGACUGGAAUUCCUGGUGUAGCGGUGAAAUGCGCAGAUAUCAGGAGGAACACCGGUGGCGAAGGCGGGUCUCUGGGCCAAAACUGACGCUGAGGAGCGAAAGCGUGGGGAGCGAACAGG
This 253-nucleotide ribosomal RNA is filed under the name uncultured bacterium. RNAcentral's name for it is "partial 16S ribosomal RNA". It matches the Rfam family "Bacterial small subunit ribosomal RNA", at positions 524 to 776 of the family's 1533-position model. The record is from RNAcentral.